Molecule: unclassified non-coding RNA, 378 nt
Filed under: uncultured bacterium
Lineage: Bacteria
Description: contains 16S-23S intergenic spacer region
Source: RNAcentral
UCCGGCUUAUCACCGGCGGUUUCCUUAGAGUGCUCAACUAAAUGGUCGCAACAUAGAACGAGGGUUGCGCUCGUUGCGGGACUUAACCCAACAUCUCACGGCACGAGCUGACGACAGCCGUGCAGCACCUGUGCUGGUGUCCCGAAGGAGGGCCCUGCUUUCACAAGGCUUUCACCAGCAUGUCAAACCCAGGUAAGGUUCUUCGCGUUGCGUCGAAUUAAACCACAUGCUCCGCUGCUUGUGCGGGCCCCCGUCAAUUCCUUUGAGUUUUAGCCUUGCGGCCGUACUCCCCAGGCGGGGCACUUAAUGCGUUAGCGGCGGCACGGGAGGAGUCGACACCUCCCACACCUAGUGCCCAUCGUUUACGGCGUGGACUAC